Molecule: ribosomal RNA, 250 nt
Filed under: uncultured bacterium
Lineage: Bacteria
Description: partial 16S ribosomal RNA
Rfam family: Bacterial small subunit ribosomal RNA
Source: RNAcentral
UACGUAGGGGGCAAGCGUUGUCCGGAAUCAUUGGGCGUAAAGAGCGCGUAGGCGGCCCAGUUAAGUCCGCUCUGAAAAGUCCAGGGGCUCAACCCCUGGAUGCGGGGUGGGAUACUAGCUGGGGCUAGAGUCCGGAAGAGGUGAAGUGGAAUUCCUGGUGUAGCGGUGAAAUGACGCAGAUAUCAGGAGGAACACCGAUGGCGAAGGCGCUCACUGGGACGGUACUGACGCUGGAGGCGCGAAGGCGUGG